GGGGAUUCCCAUGAUGCAGAUCCAGUGAAAGUAGUUCUGGCAUGUGACAAGGAUUCCACCUGGGCGUCUCCCAGGUGAGGUGUACUGGCUGUGUCCAACCAGCGGAGGCCCUGGAUCAGACCCAGGACCUGAUGGAGUUCCCCUGGAUAAGCUGGAGGAGGUGGCUGUGGAGAGGGAGGACACCAGGAGAGAUGAGCAUAUCCAGCCCACAUCUGCAGCAACUGUACUUAAGGGAAGUUGGGACAAUGUUAAAGACUUUCUCCACGCAAUUGCACUUGGAUUAGCUAAAUUCAUGACAGGCAUUCAAGCAGUAAUGUCUGGACUGACAACCAAACAUACCAAGCUUCUGUGGUUGAGCCAGAGACUGCACUUGUGGAUGAACAAUACAAACAUAUUAUAUUUAUUAUAUCAGUAAUGUAACUUGCAACAAAAAGUUAUGGGAAGCUUAAACUUAGUUUCAGAAUAAUUAAAUCUGAGACUGGUACAGUUAGCAAAGUGUGAUCCACUGAACAAAGUGAGGAAGCUGAUCCACUUUGACAUGUCUGUUGUGAAAAGACUUUAUUGGAUUCCUACAUCCAGGUAGGUCUGGAUAGCUGCUUGUCCCUUAAAAAAUAAUUCUUCAUUUAAAACCUGCAUUUUGUAUACACUCAGAUCUUGGUCUAUUAUUAAAAGUGUGAUAUUUAACAACAACAAAUAUAUAUUAAUAUUAAUAUUAUAUUUUAUAAUAUUUUUUAAGUCUACGUAAAUAUCACAUCAUCAUCAACCCGUCCCUUCAUCUGGUUUUGUUGACUGUGGAGAACAGUGCACAUGGAGACUCUCCUGUUUCCUGACUUCUGUCUCUGAAAACAGAGAAGAAGAUUUCAUGAUUUGGAGGAUAUAGCAUCAACUGAAAUCAUUUCCAUUAAUGGUGAAAAAGAACAGUAAAAGCAGUGAGUUUGUUUCUUAGACAUGAGAGGACAGUCUCUCUCACCUCUUGGCUGCACUGCCUCUGUUAAAUCUAACAGCAGUGUACUCAGUAACUUCCUGUUCCUGCAUUUGUCUGUGAGGCUGAGCUGCUCUGAUGUUGGAGUAGAGAGGAUCUGCCUGGUUAUUGGAGAAGUGGAUGCUGGUGUACUGAAGAUCAUCCUGCUCCUCUGGCUGUCUCUGGUCAGGUAAACACUGUAUAGGAAAAGAGAUCUCAGCUACAAAUGUGAUCAAAUGUAUUUGAGUUAAAGAACAACAGCAAAGAAGGAUUUGGGAGUCCACCAGGAAGUUUAAAACCACAAUGUUGGUUAUUUGUACAACACUGAUGUGACUGUUUUCACCUGUUCUCUGUUGUUGGCUCUGUCUUCAGAUUUAACAGGUUCCUUGGACAUCCU
Oreochromis aureus is the source of this 1358-nucleotide long non-coding RNA. The record is from Ensembl. NCBI's taxonomy places the organism in Eukaryota, Metazoa, Chordata, Actinopteri, Cichliformes, Cichlidae.